Molecule: ribosomal RNA, 253 nt
Filed under: uncultured bacterium
Lineage: Bacteria
Description: partial 16S ribosomal RNA
Rfam family: Bacterial small subunit ribosomal RNA
Source: RNAcentral
UACGGAGGAUGCAAGCGUUAUCCGGAAUGAUUGGGCGUAAAGGGUCCGCAGGUGGCAGUGUAAGUCUGCUGUCAAAGAAUGAGGCUUAACCUCAUCAAGGCAGUGGAAACUACACAGCUAGAGUACGGUCGGGGUAGAAGGAAUUCCUGGUGUAGCGGUGAAAUGCGUAGAGAUCAGGAAGAACACCGGUGGCGAAAGCGUUCUGCUAGACCUGUACUGACACUGAGGGACGAAAGCUAGGGGAGCGAAAGGG